Molecule: ribosomal RNA, 468 nt
Filed under: uncultured bacterium
Lineage: Bacteria
Description: partial 16S ribosomal RNA
Rfam family: Bacterial small subunit ribosomal RNA
Source: RNAcentral
GACGAACGCUGGCGGCGUGCUUAACACAUGCAAGUCGAACGGUGAAGCUCCAGCUUGCUGGAGUGGAUCAGUGGCGAACGGGUGAGUAACACGUGAGCAACCUGCCCCUGACUCUGGAAUAAGCGCUGGAAACGGCGUCUAAUACUGGAUACGAGAAGGGUCCGCAUGGGCACCUUCUGGAAAGUUUUUCGGUUGGGGAUGGGCUCGCGGCCUAUCAGCUUGUUGGUGAGGUAAUGGCUCACCAAGGCGACGACGGGUAGCCGGCCUGAGAGGGCGACCGGCCACACUGGGACUGAGACACGGCCCAGACUCCUACGGGAGGCAGCAGUGGGGAAUAUUGCGCAAUGGGCGAAAGCCUGAUGCAGCGACGCCGCGUGAGGGAUGACGGCCUUCGGGUUGUAAACCUCUUUCAGCAGGGAAGAAGCGAAAGUGACGGUACCUGCAGAAGAAGCACCGGCUAACUACGUG